CUUUGAUCUGACUGGUUUGUCUCGUGUUCACUUGCUGUUUCCUUGCUUAGUUAUCUGAUGCUUAAGAUACAUCCCCAUUACAGUGAUUUACUUCUGCUGUGGGCUAUGUGUUUGACUUUUGUGGGGCUUCUCUAUGGGUCCCCAGCUGGAGCUGUCAUUGCUUCUCAGCUGUUUGCAAUGAGUGCUGCUCUGCAGGUGGCUUAUGCGGGAGGCCCAGAGUAGGUUCCUGCUUGUGGCUAUUGAAUAGAAGUUACUGGGAAUGCUAGGGCUGUCAGCUUUGUGCAGAUCUCUUCCUACGGAGACUGGAGGAAGGAAAUACCAGAAGCCUUGCAAUAUAAUAUGCACAGCUGACCUUUUGUGUCCUGGAUUGCAUCGGAAAGGAAGAAAAUACUUCAAGAUGGAACCAGGGAAGGUCUUCACUUACAGCCAGGAGCAGUUUGGGCCAUAGAAGGGAAUGGACUGACACAAACCUCUCAGAUGUCCAGGGUGGCCCUGCCAGGUCCUGUCAACCGAAGGCUUUGUGGUCUGAGACACUGUGGCAUCGAGUUCCCCGUGCACCAUGGGAAAUCUUCAUAAUGCUUGACUGUAUUAGAGGAUGGAUCUUUGUUACAAUCUCUGCGUUAUAAAUAGAAAAGCAGGCUUAGUAAAUUUACAAAAAUUCAAAGAACUAAAAGUCUGCUGAUAAGAUUUCACAAGACUAAUAGCAACAAAAUAAAUGUUUUACUACUCUAAAAAUUACUGCUUCA
This 746-nucleotide long non-coding RNA is filed under the name Numida meleagris (helmeted guineafowl). Its description in RNAcentral is "lncRNA (ENSNMEG00000022169.1)". Lineage: Eukaryota; Metazoa; Chordata; Aves; Galliformes; Numididae. The record is from RNAcentral.